RNAcentral lists this ribosomal RNA (254 nucleotides) under uncultured bacterium. Its description in RNAcentral is "partial 16S ribosomal RNA". It matches the Rfam family "Bacterial small subunit ribosomal RNA", at positions 524 to 776 of the family's 1533-position model. The record is from RNAcentral.
UACGUAGGGUGCAAGCGUUGUCCGGAAUUAUUGGGCGUAAAGAGCUCGUAGGUGGUGUGUCGCGUCGGCCGUGAAAACCUGCAGCUUAACUGUGGGCUUGCGGUCGAUACGGGCAUCACUGGAGUUCGGCAGGGGAGACUGGAAUUCCUGGUGUAGCGGUGAAAUGCGCAGAUAUCAGGAGGAACACCGGUGGCGAAGGCGGGUCUCUGGGCCGAUACUGACGCUGAGGAGCGAAAGCGUGGGGAGCGAACAGG